RNAcentral lists this transfer RNA (72 nucleotides) under Acidobacteriota bacterium. Its description in RNAcentral is "tRNA-Lys". It matches the Rfam family "tRNA". Rfam says of the family: Transfer RNA (tRNA) molecules are approximately 80 nucleotides in length. Their secondary structure includes four short double-helical elements and three loops (D, anti-codon, and T loops). Further hydrogen bonds mediate the characteristic L-shaped molecular structure. tRNAs have two regions of fundamental functional importance: the anti-codon, which is responsible for specific mRNA codon recognition, and the 3' end, to which the tRNAs corresponding amino acid is attached (by aminoacyl-tRNA synthetases). tRNAs cope with the degeneracy of the genetic code in two manners: having more than one tRNA (with a specific anti-codon) for a particular amino acid; and 'wobble' base-pairing, i.e. permitting non-standard base-pairing at the 3rd anti-codon position. The record is from RNAcentral. Lineage: Bacteria; Pseudomonadati; Acidobacteriota.
GGGCCGGUAGCUCAAUGGUAGAGCAUCGCCCUUUUAAGGCGGUGGUUCUGGGUUCGAGUCCCAGCCGGCUCA